Molecule: ribosomal RNA, 131 nt
Filed under: uncultured bacterium
Lineage: Bacteria
Description: partial 16S ribosomal RNA
Rfam family: Bacterial small subunit ribosomal RNA
Source: RNAcentral
UGGGGAAUAUUGCACAAUGGGGGAAACCCUGAUGCAGCGACGCCGCGUGAAGGAAGAAGUAUCUCGGUAUGUAAACUUCUAUCAGCAGGGAAGAUAGUGACGGUACCUGACUAAGAAGCCCCGGCUAACUA